RNAcentral lists this transfer RNA (70 nucleotides) under Sterechinus neumayeri. Its description in RNAcentral is "tRNA-Pro". It matches the Rfam family "tRNA". Rfam says of the family: Transfer RNA (tRNA) molecules are approximately 80 nucleotides in length. Their secondary structure includes four short double-helical elements and three loops (D, anti-codon, and T loops). Lineage: Eukaryota; Metazoa; Echinodermata; Echinoidea; Camarodonta; Echinidae. The record is from RNAcentral.
CAGGGGAUAGUUUUAAUAAAAAACAACAGCUUUGGGAGUUGUAGAUGUAGGUGAAAACCUUACUUCCUUG